GACGAACGCUGGCGGCGUGCUUAACACAUGCAAGUCGAACGGAAAGGCCUCUUUCGGGGGGUACUCGAGUGGCGAACGGGUGAGUAACACGUGAGUAACCUGCCCUUGACUUUGGGAUAACUUCAGGAAACUGGGGCUAAUACCGGAUAGGAGCUCCUGCUGCAUGGUGGGGGUUGGAAAGUUUCGGCGGUUGGGGAUGGACUCGCGGCUUAUCAGCUUGUUGGUGGGGUAGUGGCUUACCAAGGCUUUGACGGGUAGCCGGCCUGAGAGGGUGACCGGCCACAUUGGGACUGAGAUACGGCCCAGACUCCUACGGGAGGCAGCAGUGGGGAAGAUUGCACAAUGGGUGGAAGCCUGAUGCAGCAGCGCCGUGUGCGGGAUGACGGCCUUCGGGUUGUAAACCGCUUUCGCUCAUGACGAAGCUUUGUGUGACGGUAGUGGGUAAAGAAGCACCGGCUAACUACGUG
RNAcentral lists this ribosomal RNA (467 nucleotides) under uncultured bacterium. RNAcentral describes it as "partial 16S ribosomal RNA". It matches the Rfam family "Bacterial small subunit ribosomal RNA", at positions 28 to 507 of the family's 1533-position model. The record is from RNAcentral.